Long non-coding RNA from Wyeomyia smithii (pitcher-plant mosquito), 281 nucleotides. RefSeq lists it as uncharacterized. The record is from RefSeq and is a predicted model, not a curated record. The transcript has 2 exons. Lineage: Eukaryota; Metazoa; Arthropoda; Insecta; Diptera; Culicidae.
GUGGCAAUCAGCGGGAAUUGGCCCGUGAGAGAAACAUGAAAAAGCAACAAACACAGAAAGCGAAAUCCAAGGAGGAUGGGUUGACACACGAGCAGCGCAAACAGCGAUUCAAUCCACCAUAGCUAAGAAACGAUGUGUGCGAUUGCCAACGAGUGAACAUCGUUGUGUUGAACCACAUGUAUCGUUUCGUUUCGGUUCAGCAAGAUGACGAGCAACAUGCUGCCAACCUACUAGGAAUCAUGUUGAAAUACUAAUUAAACUUAACUAUAGCAUAAGAUUUA